CGGGCUGAUUCUAGGCCCAAUUGGGGCGGAUGCUACACUGAGCAUAAUGCUUCUUGGUUAUUUUGUCCGGUUUCCACAAAAAUGAUCGUCAAACUACAUUAAAUACUUUGGUGUACUACAUUUAUAUUAAGACUUGUGCAAAUUAUCGGUGGAUCUCACAGCACAAUGAGAAGAAAUAAAAACAGAAGUAGAACCGGAUGAAGAAGAGUGAAAUUAUAGAAGAAGCAAUCAAUUAAAUGAAAGGCCCACUACCUUGGAACAUUUGCAUAGAAA
This 273-nucleotide long non-coding RNA is filed under the name Elaeis guineensis (African oil palm). RNAcentral's name for it is "long non-coding RNA (EGUI_LNC006041)". The record is from RNAcentral. Lineage: Eukaryota; Viridiplantae; Streptophyta; Magnoliopsida; Arecales; Arecaceae.